AUAAAAUGAGAUCAUGUGUGUGACAGUUCUUUGCAACUUUCAUAUUUCUUUAGCACAGAGCUAUACAAAAGAGAGCUAUUUAAUUUUUUUCUCUUUGGCUUAGAGCACAGAAGCUUUCAGGGUGGAGAGUCAGGACAGGUUCUAUGGACAUAUGGAGCUCCCAGGGGGCUUGUGCAGGACUCAAGGAAAUGUCCAGCUUAACCUGCUGGGCAUAACAAUUUUGCUGCUUCAACCCAUCUGCUAUGGAAAAUGAGGAGCCAACAAAAAAGGGAGAAACAGAGGUGAAGGCACCUGAUAAUGAAAGCUUUAAGAAAGGGAAGGGGUAAGUACAUGCCGUCAGGUGAACCCAGAAGUCAAUAAAGAUGAAAAGUCCUUUGGACAUGACCAAGAGAUUAUUGAUGCAAUCUGCUGAUGUCUUAGAAUGUGCCUUGCCUAGGCUGGUGCCUGUGAGCUGGCAGAAGUGUGAUGCCCUUCUCUGCUAGUAUCAAUAAAAUCACACGAGAUAUUCUUGCUCCAUUCCCAGGUAUAUCCUGAGUCAUUCAUUUCAACCCAGCUUAACCCCAUCCUCACCUUCAGAGUUCUUUACCCUUGGAAUCAAUUCGUGUUGAAGACCUCAUAUCAUCUGCCUUAAAACCACUGAUCCACAUUGCCAUUCUGUUCUGACCUCUGGCUGACUUGCUUAGGUUAACAGCCUAGACUUCUUUCUUGAAAUUCGCCGCAGCGAAACCUUGUGAUUCAGCCAGCCAAACCAGUAAUUCAUACUCAUCCCUCUAGCAAACGAAACCCUGAAGCUGCUAAUGAGAAAAGGCAUAUGCAAGCCACAGUGUGUUGAGGCAGAGAAGGUAGCUGCAGAGGGCAGAAGGGAGUCUGAUAGAGCUGGAGGAGGCUGUACUAAAACAUAGUGAUUAUGAGCUUGGGCCCUGGGGUUCAAACGCCAGCUAUCCCAUUUCUUAGCUGUGUCCUUGGCCUGGUUAUUUAACCGCUCUAACCCUCAACUCUCUACUCAAUUUUUCCUAGACCCCAGUGCUAAGCAUAUGGCAGGUGUUCGAUAUUGAGUAAAUGAAUAAGUUCAUACAGAUGAAAAAAACAAGGCCCAGUAUGGUUGAUACAUAUCUAAUUAAUAGCUAAUGAAAAAAACGGCAAUCCUCCAUAUUAAAGCCAAGCUACAUGUCAUUUCUUAAAGAAAUCAAGUUAAAGUCUCAUCAAAAUGAUAGAUUUUAUUUAGCCAAUACUUCAUAGUGCUAGACAUGACACCCAGUGCUUCAUAAUUUCCUUGUGUAUUUGGUAUAAUUAUUGUCUCCAUUUUACCUAUGAGAUAAUUGAGAUACAAAGAGGUUACAGAACUAAUAUGAUUCCUAAAAGAUUUACUCAAGGAAUACUGUGAUCCUUAACAAAUAGCCUUUUUGAAAUGUACUAAUUUGGACUACCAUUUUCUCUGCCUCUCUGUUCCUAAUUGUCACAGGUUCUUCCUCCCUACUUGACCACAGGCAUGUCUCAGCAUUGGGAAGAGUCCUAGGAUGCAUUGUAAAAGAAAGUCUGUAAUUUUGGUGCAUCAAGGAACAAAAGUGUGGAAACAUCCAGCCUCUGGCUGCUGGACACUCCCCUUCUUCCUUCUCACCAUACUGUCUGUAAUAAAGAAUAAAGUGUUAUUUAAUA
Long non-coding RNA from Gorilla gorilla gorilla (western lowland gorilla), 1656 nucleotides. RefSeq lists it as uncharacterized. The transcript is spliced from 2 exons. The record is from RefSeq and is a predicted model, not a curated record. Lineage: Eukaryota; Metazoa; Chordata; Mammalia; Primates; Hominidae.